GACAGAGGGUGCAAACGUUGUUCGGAUUUACUGGGCGUAAAGCGCGUGUAGGCGGCUUGGCAAGUCGGAUGUGAAAGCCCACGGCUCAACCGUGGAAGCGCAUCCGAAACUGCUUCGCUCGAGUCUCGGAGAGGAAGGUGGAAUGCUUGGUGUAGAGGUGAAAUUCGUAGAUAUCAAGCAGAACACCUGCGGCGAAGGCGGCUCACUGGCCCGGUACUGACGCUGAGGCGCGAAAGCGUGGGGAGCAAACAGG
This 253-nucleotide ribosomal RNA is filed under the name uncultured bacterium. RNAcentral's name for it is "partial 16S ribosomal RNA". It matches the Rfam family "Bacterial small subunit ribosomal RNA", at positions 524 to 776 of the family's 1533-position model. The record is from RNAcentral.